CCUACGGGUGGCAGCAGUGAGGAAUAUUGGUCAAUGGGCGCGAGCCUGACCCAGCCAAGUAGCGUGAAGGAUGACUGCCCUACGGGUUGUAACCUUCUUUUAUAAAGGAAUAAAGUGAGGCACGUGUGCCUUUUUGUAUGUACUUUAUGAAUAAGGAUCGGCGAACUCCGUGCCAGCAGCCGCGGUAAUACGGAGGAGCCGAGCGUUAUCCGGAUUUAUUGGGUUUAAAGGGAGCGUAGGUGGGUUGUUAAGUCAGUUGUGAAAGUUUGGGGCUCAACCGUAAAAUUGCAAUUGAUACUGGCAGACUUGAGUGCAGUUGAGGAAGGCGGAAUUCGAGGUGUAGCAGUGAAAUGCGUAGAUAUCUGGAGGAACACCGAUUGCGAAGGCAGCCUACUAGACUGCCACUGACAUUGAGGCUCGAAAGUGUGGGUAUCAAACAGGAUUAGAUACCCGAGUAGUC
Molecule: ribosomal RNA, 460 nt
Filed under: uncultured bacterium
Lineage: Bacteria
Description: partial 16S ribosomal RNA
Rfam family: Bacterial small subunit ribosomal RNA
Source: RNAcentral